Molecule: ribosomal RNA, 343 nt
Filed under: uncultured bacterium
Lineage: Bacteria
Description: bacterial SSU rRNA
Rfam family: Bacterial small subunit ribosomal RNA
Source: RNAcentral
ACUCCUACGGGAGGCAGGCAGUGGGGAAGUAUUGCACAAUGGGCAGGCAAGCCUGAUGCAGCCAUGCCGCGUGUGUGAAGAAGGCCUUCGGGUUGUAAAGCACUUUCAGUCGGUGAGGAAGGUAGUGUAGUUAACUAGCUGCUAUUAUUUGACGUUAGCGAACAGAAGAAGCACCGGCUAACUCCGUGCCAGCAGCCGCGGUAAUACGGAGGGUGCGAGCGUUAAUCGGAAUUACUGGGCGUAAAGCGCAUGCAGGUGGCUUUGUUAAGUCAGAUGUGAAAGCCCGGGGCUCAACCUCGGAAUUGCAUUUGAAACUGGCAGACUAGAGUACUGUAGAGGGGGG